UAGCUCAUCAUUCGGGUGAACCACGUACAUCUGUCUUCUGCAUGCAUGUCUAUUUGCCUACCGAAUGCUCUCACAUACUGAGAGUCCUCACCUUCAACGUCCACCUCAUCUUUAAGUUGGUCUAAUUACUACUUGUCUAGAUUUUAGCACUAACACAAUCGAUUUUUUAAUAGAGAUGAUCUUUGAAUGAAUAUCUACAAAAUACAUGGUUUGGAUUAGUAAAAUACAAUAGGGAGUGGGCUCUACAAGGGUGUCCCUCAAAUAAGUAUUUAAUUGAUACCUCAAUAGAAGCUUGUUGAUACUAAGAUCAGCGACCAAUAAAAGCUAAACACGUGGAUAAUGCAAGGCAUUGGCAUGGAAGCCCUCAGCACCCACACCUACCGUUCCCAGUAUAAAAGCACAAAUUGCCCACUGGACACGUGGCGCAUCCACUGUGAAUAUCCACAGUCCCACAUCGAAAUUCUACACAACUUGCACACCUCCCAAGGUUUAUAAAAGAAGCACAAUUCCCAAAAAUAGAGGUAAUCUGAACUCUCGGCAUACGGCCCAUAGAUUUGUUCAGUUCGCUUACUAAAUCCGUACUUACUUAAGCAUCGGAGAGCCUUCGGCAAGUACUACACUGGUGCCCUAGGUCUUAACGAGCGGAUACUCUUUUUACAGGAUCCACCUCCGCGAGGCCCAGAGCAAUCCGAAGGCCCAGACAUCACUAAGUUGAUCCCAAAAGUGCCGAAUCACUUUUUUGCAUCAACAGUUUGGCUCCGUCUAUGGGAAGUGACCUAAAUCGAC
This 786-nucleotide long non-coding RNA is filed under the name Prunus persica (peach). RNAcentral describes it as "long non-coding RNA (PPER_LNC007977)". Lineage: Eukaryota; Viridiplantae; Streptophyta; Magnoliopsida; Rosales; Rosaceae. The record is from RNAcentral.